RNAcentral lists this ribosomal RNA (253 nucleotides) under uncultured bacterium. Its description in RNAcentral is "partial 16S ribosomal RNA". It matches the Rfam family "Bacterial small subunit ribosomal RNA", at positions 524 to 776 of the family's 1533-position model. The record is from RNAcentral.
UACGGAGGGGGCUAGCGUUGUUCGGAAUUACUGGGCGUAAAGCGCACGUAGGCAGCUUUGUAAGUCAGAGGUGAAAUCCCGGGGCUCAACCCCGGAACUGCCUUUGAGACUGCAUCGCUUGAAUCCAGGAGAGGUGAGUGGAAUUCCGAGUGUAGAGGUGAAAUUCGUAGAUAUUCGGAAGAACACCAGUGGCGAAGGCGGCUCACUGGACUGGUAUUGACGCUGAGGUGCGAAAGCGUGGGGAGCAAACAGG